This 468-nucleotide ribosomal RNA is filed under the name uncultured bacterium. RNAcentral's name for it is "partial 16S ribosomal RNA". It matches the Rfam family "Bacterial small subunit ribosomal RNA", at positions 28 to 507 of the family's 1533-position model. The record is from RNAcentral.
GACGAACGCUGGCGGCGUGCUUAACACAUGCAAGUCGAACGGACAGGCGCUGCUCUUGCGGCGUGCUCGAGUGGCGAAGGCGUGAGUAACACGCGUGUAACCUCCACUUGUCUUAGGGAUAACUCCUGGGAACUCCGGAUCAUAUCGGAUAGGAGCUUCUGCUGCAUGGUGGGGGUUGGUAAGUUUCGGUGGUUGGGGCUGGUCUCGAGGCUUAUCCGCUUGUUAGUCGGGUUGUGGCUUACCAAGGCUUAGACGGCUAGCCUGCCUGAGAGGGUGACCGGCGACAUGGGGACUGAGAUACGGCCCAGACUGCAACGGGAGGCAGCGGUGGAGAAUAUUGCGCAAUAGGCGCGAGCGUGAUGCGGCAGCGCCGCGUGCGGGAUGACGGCCUUCGGGUUGUAAACCGCUUUCGCCGGUGACGAGGCGUGAGUGACGGUAAUGGGUAAGGAAGCACCGGCUAACUACGUG